Molecule: ribosomal RNA, 501 nt
Filed under: uncultured bacterium
Lineage: Bacteria
Description: partial 16S ribosomal RNA
Rfam family: Bacterial small subunit ribosomal RNA
Source: RNAcentral
AUUGAACGCUGGCGGCAGGCUUAACACAUGCAAGUCGAGCGGAGAUGAGGUGCUUGCACCUUAUCUUAGCGGCGGACGGGUGAGUAAUGCUUAGGAAUCUGCCUAUUAGUGGGGGACAACAUUCCGAAAGGAAUGCUAAUACCGCAUACGUCCUACGGGAGAAAGCAGGGGAUCUUCGGACCUUGCGCUAAUAGAUGAGCCUAAGUCGGAUUAGCUAGUUGGUGGGGUAAAGGCCUACCAAGGCGACGAUCUGUAGCGGGUCUGAGAGGAUGAUCCGCCACACUAGGGCUGAGACACGGCCCAGACUCCUACGGGAGGCAGCAGUGGGGAAUAUUGGAAAAUGGGGGGAACCCUGAUCCAGCCAUGCCGCGUGUGUGAAGAAGGCCUUAUGGUUGUAAAGCACUUUAAGCGAGGAGGAGGCUACUGAGACUAAUACUCUUGGAUAGUGGACGUUACUCGCAGAAUAAGCACCGGCUAACUCUGUGCCAGCCGCCGCCGUAA